CCUACGGGAGGCAGCAGUGGGGAAUAUUGGACAAUGGGCGAAAGCCUGAUCCAGCCAUGCCGCGUGUGUGAAGAAGGCCUUCGGGUUGUAAAGCACUUUCAGUGGGGAAGAAAGCCUUGGGGCUAAUACCCUCGAGGAAGGACAUCACCCACAGAAGAAGCACCGGCUAACUCCGUGCCAGCAGCCGCGGUAAUACGGAGGGUGCGAGCGUUAAUCGGAAUUACUGGGCGUAAAGCGCGCGUAGGCGGUCUGAUAAGCCGGUUGUGAAAGCCCCGGGCUCAACCUGGGAACGGCAUCCGGAACUGUCAGGCUAGAGUGCAGGAGAGGAAGGUAGAAUUCCCGGUGUAGCGGUGAAAUGCGUAGAGAUCGGGAGGAAUACCAGUGGCGAAGGCGGCCUGCUGGACUGACACUGACGCUGAGGUGCGAAAGCGUGGGUAGCAAACAGGAUUAGAUACCCUAGUAGUC
This 465-nucleotide ribosomal RNA is filed under the name Vreelandella stevensii. RNAcentral describes it as "partial 16S ribosomal RNA". It matches the Rfam family "Bacterial small subunit ribosomal RNA", at positions 338 to 795 of the family's 1533-position model. Lineage: Bacteria; Pseudomonadati; Pseudomonadota; Gammaproteobacteria; Oceanospirillales; Halomonadaceae. The record is from RNAcentral.